RNAcentral lists this ribosomal RNA (492 nucleotides) under uncultured bacterium. RNAcentral's name for it is "partial 16S ribosomal RNA". It matches the Rfam family "Bacterial small subunit ribosomal RNA", at positions 29 to 507 of the family's 1533-position model. The record is from RNAcentral.
AGUGAACGCUGGCGGUAGGCCUAACACAUGCAAGUCGAACGGCAGCACAGUAAGAUCUUGCUCUUACGGGUGGCGAGUGGCGGACGGGUGAGGAAUACAUCGGAAUCUACUUUUUCGUGGGGGAUAACGUAGGGAAACUUACGCUAAUACCGCAUACGACCUACGGGUGAAAGCAGUGGAUCUUCGGACCUUGCGCGAUUGAAUGAGCCGAUGUCGGAUUAGCUAGUUGGCGGGGUAAAGGCCCACCAAGGCGAGGAUCCGUAGCUGGUCUGAGAGGAUGAUAGGCCACACUGGAACUGAGACACGGUCAAGACUCCUACGGGAGGCAGCAGUGGGGAAUAUUGGACAAUGGGCGCAAGCCUGAUCCAGCCAUACCGCGUGGGUGAAGAAGGCCUUCGGGUUGUAAAGCCCUUUUGUUGGGAAAGAAAAGCAGCAGGUUAAUACCCCGCUGUUCUGACGGUAACCAAAGAAUAAGCACCGGCUAACUUCGUG